RNAcentral lists this ribosomal RNA (253 nucleotides) under uncultured bacterium. Its description in RNAcentral is "partial 16S ribosomal RNA". It matches the Rfam family "Bacterial small subunit ribosomal RNA", at positions 524 to 776 of the family's 1533-position model. The record is from RNAcentral.
GACAGAGGGGGCAAGCGUUGUUCGGAAUUACUGGGCGUAAAGGGCUCGUAGGCGGCCAACUAAGUCAGACGUGAAAUCCCCAGGCUCAACCUGGGAACUGCGUCUGAUACUGGUUGGCUUGAAUCCGGGAGAGGGAUGCAGAAUUCCAGGUGUAGCGGUGAGAUGCGUAGAUAUCUGGAGGAAUACCGGUGGCGAAGGCGGCAUCCUGGACCGGCAUUGACGCUGAGGAGCGAAAGCCAGGGGAGCAAACGGG